GAUGAACGCUGGCGGCGUGCCUAAUACAUGCAAGUCGAGCGAACAGACGAGGCGCUUGCUCCUCUGACGUUAGCGGCGGACGGGUGAGUAAAACGUGCAGAACCUACCUCUAAGACUGGGAUAACUUCGGAACACCGGCACUAAGACGGAAAAAAAUAUUAAACCACUGGGAAUACUAGUGAAAGACGGUUAUGCUGUCAUUUAUAUCUGGAUACACGCCUCAUUAGGUAGUUGGUAAGGUAACGGCUUACCAAGGCAACGAUGCGUAGCCGACCUGAGAGGGUGAUCGGCCACACUGGAUCUGAGACACGGUCCAGACUCCUACGGGAGGCAGCAGUAGGGAAUCUUCCGCGAGGGACGAAAGCCUGACGGAGCAACGCCGCGUGAGUGAUGAAGCUCUUCGGAUCGUAAAACUCUGUUAUUAGGGAAGAACAAAUGUGUAAGUAACUAUGCACGUCUUGACGGUACCUAAUCAGAAAGCCACGGCUAACUACGUG
This 497-nucleotide ribosomal RNA is filed under the name uncultured bacterium. RNAcentral's name for it is "partial 16S ribosomal RNA". It matches the Rfam family "Bacterial small subunit ribosomal RNA", at positions 28 to 507 of the family's 1533-position model. The record is from RNAcentral.